RNAcentral lists this ribosomal RNA (794 nucleotides) under uncultured earthworm cast bacterium. Its description in RNAcentral is "bacterial SSU rRNA". It matches the Rfam family "Bacterial small subunit ribosomal RNA", at positions 28 to 840 of the family's 1533-position model. The record is from RNAcentral.
GCAGAACAGCUGGCGGCGUGCUUAACACAUGCAAGUCGAACGAGAAGCCUUCGGGUGGAUUAGUGGCGAACGGGUGAGUAACACGUGGGUAAUCUGCCCUGCACUCUGGGAUAAGCCUUGGAAACGAGGUCUAAUACCGGAUAUCACAACUCUUCGCAUGGAGGGUUGUUGAAAGUUCCGGCGGUGCAGGAUGAACCCGCGGCCUAUCAGCUUGUUGGUGGGGUAAUGGCCUACCAAGGCGACGACGGGUAGCCGGCCUGAGAGGGUGACCGGCCACACUGGGACUGAGACACGGCCCAGACUCCUACGGGAGGCAGCAGUGGGGAAUAUUGCACAAUGGGCGAAAGCCUGAUGCAGCGACGCCGCGUGAGGGAUGACGGCCUUCGGGUUGUAAACCUCUUUCGCCAGGGACGAAGCGCAAGUGACGGUACCUGGAUAAGAAGCACCGGCUAACUACGUGCCAGCAGCCGCGGUAAUACGUAGGGUGCGAGCGUUGUCCGGAUUUAUUGGGCGUAAAGAGCUCGUAGGCGGUUUGUCGCGUCGGCUGUGAAAUCUGGAGGCUUAACCUUCAGCGUGCAGUCGAUACGGGCAGACUUGAGUUCGGUAGGGGAGACUGGAAUUCCUGGUGUAGCGGUGAAAUGCGCAGAUAUCAGGAGGAACACCGGUGGCGAAGGCGGGUCUCUGGGCCGAUACUGACGCUGAGGAGCGAAAGCGUGGGGAGCGAACAGGAUUAGAUACCCUGGUAGUCCACGCUGUAAACGGUGGGUGCUAGGUGUGGGCCGACAUUCCACGUU